RNAcentral lists this long non-coding RNA (834 nucleotides) under Sorghum bicolor (sorghum). Its description in RNAcentral is "long non-coding RNA (SBIC_LNC004951)". Lineage: Eukaryota; Viridiplantae; Streptophyta; Magnoliopsida; Poales; Poaceae. The record is from RNAcentral.
UGGUUUAUGACAUUAAAAGUGUGACAUGAUUCAUGACAUUAAAAGGGUAAAAGUGUCACAAAGUCUAAUUCUAGCAUAUGCUUAUACUUGUGGGUCACAUAUCUUGAUAGGAAUAUCAUAUUGACUUGGUUGUUGACAAUUGUGAUAUAGUUCUUAGCUCAUGACUCGUACCCUUUCUAUUCAAAGUGCUUAGAGAUUAUUUUUGAAAAUAUCAUAAAACCAUAGUGUCACUUACUCAAUAGUAAGAGAAUUCCUACCACAGCCAUAUAUGUUCAUACAUUAUUCAAAACCCUUCUAUAUAUGCUACCUGUACUUGUGUUGAGUUUGGUCAAACCUUGUGACCCUAGUUGAGAAUUAUGUCAUAGUCCCAAGAUCAAGAUCACACACACCACAUAUAUAUGCUGCUUCUACACUGGGAGUACGCAAAAACAUGCAAUCCAUUUCCACCAUAUAGAUGCUCCAUGUUUUAAGGUUUAUAAUAUCUCUCUCUAAGUAUUGGUUAUAAGAUGAGACACAAAGGCUAUGCUUAGUAAAAAAAAUUGGGCACAUGAAGGUCCAUUGCUUUUGAAAAAAAUAAAAAAAAGCUAGCCAUGUCUCAAAUAAAAUAGAGAAAGAGAGAGGGAUCUUAUCCAAUAUAUGAGCAUUCUAUUCUAGUCAUUCUUCACACGCUUACACAUCUUGAUCUAGGAUUCUGACAUUCUUCUCCUUGGAUCCUUGUUUUGACUUUACAAUAUAUACAAUGCAAGUAUGCUAUCCUGUUUCUCCCUACCUGAGCCCCACAUAAGACUAAUAGAUGUAGGAUGAAACAAAAGAAGGCAAUCUUAUGCUAUGCCU